UACGAAGGGGGCUAGCGUUGCUCGGAAUCACUGGGCGUAAAGCGCACGUAGGCGGUUUGUUAAGUCAGGGGUGAAAUCCUGGAGCUCAACUCCAGAACUGCCUUUGAUACUGAAGAUCUCGAGUCCGGGAGAGGUGAGUGGAACUGCGAGUGUAGAGGUGAAAUUCGUAGAUAUUCGCAAGAACACCAGUGGCGAAGGCGGCUCACUGGCCCGGUACUGACGCUGAGGCACGAAAGCGUGGGGAGCAAACAGG
Molecule: ribosomal RNA, 253 nt
Filed under: uncultured bacterium
Lineage: Bacteria
Description: partial 16S ribosomal RNA
Rfam family: Bacterial small subunit ribosomal RNA
Source: RNAcentral